GGCGUAGUCGAUGGGAAACAGGUUAAUAUUCCUGUACUUGGUGUUACUGCGAAGGGGGGACGGAGAAGGCUAUGUUGGCCGGGCGACGGUUGUCCCGGUUUAAGCGUGUAGGCUGGUUUUCCAGGCAAAUCCGGAAAAUCAAGGCCGAGGCGUGAUGACGAGGCACUACGGUGCUGAAGCAACAAAUGCCCUGCUUCCAGGAAAAGCCUCUAAGCAUCAGGUAACAUCAAAUCGUACCCCAAACCGACACAGGUGGUCAGGUAGAGAAUACCAAGGCGCUUGAGAGAACUCGGGUGAAGGAACUAGGCAAAAUGGUGCCGUAACUUCGGGAGAAGGCACGCUGAUACGUAGGUGAAGCGACUUGCUCGUGGAGCUGAAAUCAGUCGAAGAUACCAGCUGGCUGCAACUGUUUAUUAAAAACACAGCACUGUGCAAACACGAAAGUGGACGUAUACGGUGUGACGCCUGCCCGGUGCCGGAAGGUUAAUUGAUGGGGUUAGCGCAAGCGAAGCUCUUGAUCGAAGCCCCGGUAAACGGCGGCCGUAACUAUAACGGUCCUAAGGUAGCGAAAUUCCUUGUCGGGUAAGUUCCGACCUGCACGAAUGGCGUAAUGAUGGCCAGGCUGUCUCCACCCGAGACUCAGUGAAAUUGAACUCGCUGUGAAGAUGCAGUGUACCCGCGGCAAGACGGAAAGACCCCGUGAACCUUUACUAUAGCUUGACACUGAACAUUGAGCCUUGAUGUGUAGGAUAGGUGGGAGGCUUUGAAGUGUGGACGCCAGUCUGCAUGGAGCCGACCUUGAAAUACCACCCUUUAAUGUUUGAUGUUCUAACGUGGACCCGUGAUCCGGGUUGCGGACAGUGUCUGGUGGGUAGUUUGACUGGGGCGGUCUCCUCCUAAAGAGUAACGGAGGAGCACGAAGGUUGGCUAAUCCUGGUCGGACAUCAGGAGGUUAGUGCAAUGGCAUAAGCCAGCUUGACUGCGAGCGUGACGGCGCGAGCAGGUGCGAAAGCAGGUCAUAGUGAUCCGGUGGUUCUGAAUGGAAGGGCCAUCGCUCAACGGAUAAAAGGUACUCCGGGGAUAACAGGCUGAUACCGCCCAAGAGUUCAUAUCGACGGCGGUGUUUGGCACCUCGAUGUCGGCUCAUCACAUCCUGGGGCUGAAGUAGGUCCCAAGGGUAUGGCUGUUCGCCAUUUAAAGUGGUACGCGAGCUGGGUUUAGAACGUCGUGAGACAGUUCGGUCCCUAUCUGCCGUGGGCGCUGGAGAACUGAGGGGGGCUGCUCCUAGUACGAGAGGACCGGAGUGGACGCAUCACUGGUGUUCGGGUUGUCAUGCCAAUGGCACUGCCCGGUAGCUAAAUGCGGAAGAGAUAAGUGCUGAAAGCAUCUAAGCACGAAACUUGCCCCGAGAUGAGUUCUCCCUGACCCUUUAAGGGUCCUGAAGGAACGUUGAAGACGACGACGUUGAUAGGCCGGGUGUGUAAGCGCAGCGAUGCGUUGAGCUAACCGGUACUAAUGAACCGUGAGGCUUAACCUU
RNAcentral lists this ribosomal RNA (1537 nucleotides) under Shigella flexneri. RNAcentral's name for it is "partial 23S ribosomal RNA". It matches the Rfam family "Bacterial large subunit ribosomal RNA", at positions 1408 to 2925 of the family's 2925-position model. The record is from RNAcentral. Lineage: Bacteria; Pseudomonadati; Pseudomonadota; Gammaproteobacteria; Enterobacterales; Enterobacteriaceae.